Transfer RNA from Micromonas sp., 73 nucleotides. It matches the Rfam family "tRNA". Rfam says of the family: Transfer RNA (tRNA) molecules are approximately 80 nucleotides in length. Their secondary structure includes four short double-helical elements and three loops (D, anti-codon, and T loops). Lineage: Eukaryota; Viridiplantae; Chlorophyta; Mamiellophyceae; Mamiellales; Mamiellaceae. The record is from Rfam.
UCCUCAGUAGCUCAGUGGUGAGAGCGCAUGGCUGUUAACCAUUAGGUCGUUGGUUCAAAUCCAACCUGGGGAG